Molecule: microRNA precursor, 102 nt
Filed under: Glossina pallidipes
Lineage: Eukaryota; Metazoa; Arthropoda; Insecta; Diptera; Glossinidae
Description: microRNA mir-598
Source: RNAcentral
UGAUGAUGAUGAUGAUGAUGAUGACGAUGAUGAUGAUGACGGUGACGCUGACGAUGACGAUGACGAUGACGAUCACGAUCAUCAUCAUCAUCAUCGUGGUAU